GUGCCAGCCGCCGCGGUAAUACGUAGGUGGCAAGCGUUGUCCGGAAUUAUUGGGCGUAAAGCGCGCGCAGGCGGUUUCUUAAGUCUGAUGUGAAAUCCCCCGGCUUAACCGGGGAGGGUCAUUGGAAACUGGGUGACUUGAGUGCAGAAGAGGAAAGUGGAAUUCCAAGUGUAGCGGUGAAAUGCGUAGAGAUUAGGAAGAAUACCAGUGGCGAAGGCGACUUUCUGGUCUGCAACUGACGCUGAGGCACGAAAGCAUGGGGAGCAAACAGGAUUAGAUACCCUGGUAGUCCACGCCGUAAACGAUGAGUGCUAGGUGUAAGGGGGUUUGCGCCCCUUAGUGCUGCAGCUAACGCAAUAAGUACUCCGCCUGGGGAGUACGAUCGCAAGGUUGAAACUCAAAGGAAUUGACGG
Molecule: ribosomal RNA, 413 nt
Filed under: uncultured bacterium
Lineage: Bacteria
Description: bacterial SSU rRNA
Rfam family: Bacterial small subunit ribosomal RNA
Source: RNAcentral